Molecule: small nucleolar RNA, 94 nt
Filed under: Macleaya cordata
Lineage: Eukaryota; Viridiplantae; Streptophyta; Magnoliopsida; Ranunculales; Papaveraceae
Source: RNAcentral
AAUCGGCAGUGAUGAUCAGUAUACAGCUUAAUGCCAGUUCUGCUUCAGAAAAUUCUUGAUUGAUAAAGCUGAUAUAUAUAUUUCUGAGCCAUGU